UCUAAUAUGGCAGAAUAAGUGCAAUGGAUUUAAACCCCAUGAAUAAAGAAUUACCUUUUUUUAGAA
Molecule: transfer RNA, 66 nt
Filed under: Mantidae JZ-2017
Lineage: Eukaryota; Metazoa; Arthropoda; Insecta; Mantodea; Mantidae
Description: tRNA-Leu
Source: RNAcentral